This 482-nucleotide ribosomal RNA is filed under the name uncultured bacterium. Its description in RNAcentral is "partial 16S ribosomal RNA". It matches the Rfam family "Bacterial small subunit ribosomal RNA", at positions 28 to 523 of the family's 1533-position model. The record is from RNAcentral.
GACGAACGCUGGGGGCGUGCUUAACACAUGCAAGUCGAACGGUGAAGUAGAGCUUGCUCUAUGGAUCAGUGGCGAACGGGUGAGUAACACGUGGGCAACCUGCCCCAGACUCUGGGAUAACUCCUCGAAAGAGGGGCUAAUACCGGAUAUUUGCAUUGCAAGACAUCUUGUGAUGCAGAAAGAAUUUCGGUCUGGGAUGGUCCCGCGGCCUAUCAGCUUGUUGGUGAGGUAACGGCUCACCAAGGCGACGACGGGUAGCCGGCCUGAGAGGGCGUCCGGCCACACUGGUACUGAGACACAGCCCAGACUCCUACGGGAGGCAGCAGGGGGGAAUAUUGGGCAAUGGGCGCAAGCCUGACCCAGCAACGCCGCGUGAGGGAUGAAGGUACUCGGAUUGUAAACCUCUUUCAGCAGGGACGAAGCGAAAGUGACGGUACCUGCAGAAGAAGCACCGGCGAACUACGUGCCAGCAGCCGCCGUAA